Molecule: ribosomal RNA, 404 nt
Filed under: Escherichia coli
Lineage: Bacteria; Pseudomonadati; Pseudomonadota; Gammaproteobacteria; Enterobacterales; Enterobacteriaceae
Description: partial 23S ribosomal RNA
Rfam family: Bacterial large subunit ribosomal RNA
Source: RNAcentral
AAUGCUGACAUAAGUAACGAUAAAGCGGGUGAAAAGCCCGCUCGCCGGAAGACCAAGGGUUCCUGUCCAACGUUAAUCGGGGCAGGGUGAGUCGACCCCUAAGGCGAGGCCGAAAGGCGUAGUCGAUGGGAAACAGGUUAAUAUUCCUGUACUUGGUGUUACUGCGAAGGGGGGACGGAGAAGGCUAUGUUGGCCGGGCGACGGUUGUCCCGGUUUAAGCGUGUAGGCUGGUUUUCCAGGCAAAUCCGGAAAAUCAAGGCUGAGGCGUGAUGACGAGGCACUACGGUGCUGAAGCAACAAAUGCCCUGCUUCCAGGAAAAGCCUCUAAGCAUCAGGUAACAUCAAAUCGUACCCCAAACCGACACAGGUGGUCAGGUAGAGAAUACCAAGGCGCUUGAGAGAAC